AGCGAACGCUGGCGGCAGGCCUAACACAUGCAAGUCGAACGGAUCCUUCGGGAUUAGUGGCGGACGGGUGAGUAACACGUGGGAACGUGCCCUUUGGUUCGGAACAACUCAGGGAAACUUGAGCUAAUACCGGAUGUGCCCUUCGGGGGAAAGAUUUAUCGCCAUUGGAGCGGCCCGCGUCUGAUUAGCUAGUUGGUGAGGUAACGGCCCACCAAGGCGACGAUCAGUAGCUGGUCUGAGAGGAUGAUCAGCCACACUGGGACUGAGACACGGCCCAGACUCCUACGGGAGGCAGCAGUGGGGAAUCUUGCGCAAUGGGCGAAAGCCUGACGCAGCCAUGCCGAGUGAAUGAUGAAGGUCUUAGGAUUGUAAAAUUCUUUCAGCGGGGACGAUAAUGACGGUACCCGCAGAAGAAGCUCCGGCUAACUUCGUG
This 433-nucleotide ribosomal RNA is filed under the name uncultured bacterium. Its description in RNAcentral is "partial 16S ribosomal RNA". It matches the Rfam family "Bacterial small subunit ribosomal RNA", at positions 29 to 507 of the family's 1533-position model. The record is from RNAcentral.